UGGCCCGUGGUCCAACGGUACGAUAUCUCUGCUCCCUGACCCUAAACUGCUGGUGGUUGGAGAAGAUGUGGGUUCAAUUCCCGCCGGGUCGC
Favolaschia claudopus is the source of this 92-nucleotide non-coding RNA. The record is from the annotation of a GenBank genome assembly. NCBI's taxonomy places the organism in Eukaryota, Fungi, Basidiomycota, Agaricomycetes, Agaricales, Mycenaceae.